UACGUAGGGGGCAAGCGUUGUCCGGAAUCAUUGGGCGUAAAGAGCGUGUAGGCGGCUCGAUAAGUCCGCUGUGAAAGUCCAGGGCUCAACCCUGGAAGGCCGGUGGAAACUGUCGGGCUAGAGUCCGGAAGAGGCGAGUGGAAUUCCCGGUGUAGCGGUGAAAUGCGCAGAUAUUGGGAGGAACACCAAUGGCGAAGGCAGCUCGCUGGGACGGUACUGACGCUGAGACGCGAAAGCGUGGGGAGCAAACAGG
RNAcentral lists this ribosomal RNA (253 nucleotides) under uncultured bacterium. RNAcentral's name for it is "partial 16S ribosomal RNA". It matches the Rfam family "Bacterial small subunit ribosomal RNA", at positions 524 to 776 of the family's 1533-position model. The record is from RNAcentral.